UUUCGCAGGACGGAGGUUUGAGGUGUCCUGGAUCUUCGCAGUGUUUGUUGUGGUUCUCCUCCUUUUUGUUCUCUCCUUUUGGGUUUGGACUAAAAGACGGAGGCAGCAAGUCAGAGCCCUUUCCAACGGAGGGGACCUGAACCGCAUGGACCUGUACCAGAAGGCGGAUUUCAAAUGGAAGGACGACCAAAACUUGCUGAGCAGUGAAGAGACUCUGGAGGGACUCGCCGACCCCUCAGACAGCAGUCCCAGUCUGGUGUCCAAGUCAGAAACUCCUCUCAAUCCUUGGAGAAACAAGACCCAGCUCAGGAGGUAGCUGCGGGGAAGCAAGUCCUUUCAGAUGUUGGUGCAUGAGCCGCUGCCCUUCACUUGGGCCUUUUCCAUUUCCUUCAUCAUCCUGAACCCUGGAGAGGAGGAGGAAGUGGCCACCGCAACUGUCGGCCUCCCUGGGCAAGGGGAGCCGGGAGACCCGCUUCCCAGGAGCCCCUGCGUCCUCGGCUGUCCGAGGAUGGCUCCGGUGACCUAAGGCACAUCGUUUCCUGCUCUUUGGACAACAGAGCUCUCGGUGGGAGCAGCAACAGUUGCUGUUUGUAGACUAUAAAAAUCAUGGGCCUUGUAGCCCCGGGACCUUUAGGGUCGUUGGCCAUUUGGGGGCAAAGAGGCUGAAUUGUUUUAGACAUCGGGGAGCAGAGUCACAAUCACAUUUCUUGGUAACUAUUUACAUGUAAAUAAAUGGGUCCCAAUGAGAUCUUUCCUCUCUUUCCUUGGGGACAACUUGGGCACAAUGGAGCAGGGCUGGGCCGGCCCCAGUCCAAAGGCCCCAGUCCAAAUCCAGCUCCCAUACUUGCUAGCAGUGAGUCCCUCAACAUCCGUUUGUCUCAUCUGUGAAAUGGGCAUGAACAGCAGUGGGGGAGGCGGGAUACGGUAAUAGCCCAGGGAGGCCGGGAGUGCUCGCUUUUGUUACUGUUACCUUUGCUCGCUAGUCCCUGCGCCAACUCUUUUGCUCCUGAGUGGUCACAUCACUCUCCUGGGCCUAGGCCUGUUUGCGCUUGGGGACACGGACUGGGGCCGGGGGAAAGAAGAGGGGGCCCCAGAAGAGGGGGCUGCCCGGAUGGCCGCAGGGGCCCAGGCCACGUUCCCCAGCUAUUCUUCUCUCCCAAAGAAGUCAUGGGACUUGAGGGCUCGGCCCACCCCGUCCCUGAGCCUCCCCCAACCGGGACUGGCCGUGUUGCUAGGGGCGGCCUGCGAGGAGCGGGCUGGGGAAGAGCUACAUUUAAAGGGGCCUGGCUGCGCCUCUGGGCCCCCGCAGAGCGCCCGGACUCGGGCCUUGGCCGGCCGCGGGCCUUGCUAACAAAUGGAGCUGUUACCGCCGGCCCAUCGCGCUCCGGCCCGGCCUGGGGGACUGGCCCCCGAGGGAGCGCCGGGCCCGAAGCCGGCGGAGGCCGUUCCCGCUGCCUGCCGGCCCAUGCGCUCCUACAUUCGCUUCCUCCGCUUUCUGCUUUUCUGCCCGUUUGGCUGAGUGGCCUUUCUCCCCCGUGUACCUCGGGGUGCGGGAGUCGGGCUCCGAGCCCCCAGCACGGGGUCCCCCCCCUCCCGGGCUCCUUCACACUGACGAUGUCUGGGGGAGCACAGAGGAUUCUACCCCCGGGGAGGAGAGGGGGGGGGUCCCCGCUUCUCAGUCUGGCGAAGGGCAGGCAGGGACAGAAGGGGCGGGAGCGCUCUCUGUCACCCCCCGAACCGCCCAAGAGCAGCUCCCGGGGCAGGAGGAAGCGGCCCCGGAGAAAGGCCUCGAGAGGUAGCAGCGGGCGCUCCAGGGCGCCGGUGGCCCGAGAGUCGGGCAAGGCCCAGGCCGGGCCUCGGGCUCGAGGAGAGCUGGGGAGAAAUGACUCCUCGGAGGCCGGGGAAGGGCGGGCGGGGCCGCAGGGCCAGCUGGGCCGGGCGCCCCAUCCUGUCUCGGGCAGCAGGGCCACCCUUGCUGGCCCGAGGCACCCCCGCUGGAAGGGGCCGCGGCGGGGCCGGGGAUCAGGCCUCCGCAAGGACCUAGCGCGGCCUCGGGACCCUGGAGGCAGGCGGGGCGGGCUUGGGGGCGCAGAGCCUUCGGGGGCGGCGGGGUGACUGCGGGCGGGGAAGACCCCUUUCCCUCCCUCCCCACCCCCCCCCCCCCCCCCGGGCCUAGUUCCAUUCCCCCUCGGGGUCUAAGAGACGCUCACGAGAGCCUGGGCCUGGGUAGCGGUGAGGGAGCACAGAGGUCCCCUCCCCCCGCUUCCCCGGUACUGUGGUUCCCCCCAAGCCAGGCCGGCGGGAGCCCGGGGGCGGGGGCCGCUCUCCAGCCUCUGUGGGAGGGAAUAGUCCGGACGUUUUUCCCGAAUGGCCCUGGGGAAGGGGUUGGGGGAGGGGGGUUCCGGGGCCCCUCCCCCCUUUCCUUUACUCCCGGGAGAGCGUGGAGAGCUGGGGGAUGGGCUGCAGGGAUGCCAGACAGCCGGGACCGCGCUUGGGAAGGUCGCCAUCGGGCGUCUGCCCGGGGGCAAAGAGCGACCUAACGUCCUAAGGGCCGGCGCCAGGAGAACUCCGCACGGACCUCGUGGCGCAACGGUAGCGCGUCUGACUCCAGAUCAGAAGGUUGCGUGUUCGAGUCACGUCGAGGUCAGCGCGGCGGAGGUUUUUUUCCAGUUACACAUUUUGGAACCUGCGGCAGAUCCGCAGCCCCGACGUCCCGCCCUCUCCCUUCCCCCCCGCCAAAUUGUGACCGAAGUUUUAAACCAGAAAAACGAAAAUUCAGCGUAAUCUUCCAAGUGCUGGGGAAAUCGGAGCCGCGGCGGACAGUGCCCGCCCCACCCCCACUCUUUGCAAAGCAGGGGAGGGAGCGGGACACGAAGGGGGCUGCCCGCCCUACUCCUUCCCCGCCUUUCCGGGCUCCAAGCCCCCUCCUUCCUCCUCGGGUCAGAGCCUGUCCCGGGCUCCCCCCGGCCCCUCCGCCCCCAUCCCGGGAAAGCUCUCCUGGGGUUUUACUUCUUCCCAGCCCUGAGUAAAGGUCGGCAGUGCGGGGCGGGCGGGGGCCCCGAGCUCUGGAGGAAGGGCCGGGCAGCUGGGCCUCGGGCCCCUCAGGGGGUCCGUGGGGUGCGCGGGUGUAGACAAAGCGUGUGUGAUUUUUACCGGCAGCAGGGGCCAAAACGUUGCCCGGGACUACCAGGGGUGGGGUUCGAACCCACGAAAGCAGACGCUUAUUGGAUCUUAAGUCCAACGCCUUAACCACUCGGCCACCCUGGUCCACACGCUACUCCUCCCAUAAUGUCCUCCAUGUCAUUCUCCGGCUCCCAGGGCGUCUCUGGAGGCGCCUGAAAUGUCCCUGGGAAGAGGGGGCGCGGAGAGAAGGAAUGUCGGAGAAGCGAUGGGGAGAUGCUUAUAGAAGAGAAGCAGGAAGGAAGGAAGGAAGGAAAGCAGGUGGGAUGGGAGGAAGGUGGGAAAGAAGGAAAGAAAGAUGGAACAAAAAUAGGAGGGAUAUAAGGCAUCACAGAAGGAAGGGGUGCAGGAGGCCUUUGGGGAAGCAGGUGGAUAAAGGAAGGAAGCAUGGAAGGAAAGAAGGGCUGCAGGAAGAAUGGGAAGAAGGAAAGGCCGAAGGAGAACAUUUGUGCCAGGAAUGUGGGAAGAAUGGAAGGAAGAAGGAAGGAAUGAAAAAUGGAAGGACAGAGGGAAGAAUCUAGUACUUAAUGAAAGUAGGAAGAAAGAAUGCAGGAGACAUUUGUGGAAGGAUGAAGCAAGGACAGAAAGAAGGAAGGAGAGAAGUCUGUGGACGAAUUUAAGAGAGGAAGGAAGGAAGGAAAUGGGAUGAAGUCAUGAAUGAGACACUUGUGGAAGGAUUCCAUUUAAAGCCCAUUGUUCCUAAGUGGGCCUAGGAUAGGACUUUAUGGUCACACAGAUUUCCUCACUGGCUAUCAAUGUCACCGAUUACUUAGAGUAGGCGCAAGCCAAUGGCCUCCCAGAGAGUCUCCCGAUGGUUUGUUUCCUUUCUUAGAUUUUCGAUCGACUUCAGCUGUUGGCUAACAAGAUCUCAGGACUUCUGGUGUGAAAAGUCUAAGGAAGUUCCCCACUGUACGUUGUCAUUAAUUAUUUCAGAAGAUAAAUGCCUCAUUCAAGGAUUAAGGUGUAGGUUAAUGAGAGCUCGUUAGCUAGUCAGCAACUCCCAGCCCAAUGCGGAAGAUGAAGGGAAGUCGUCUCUCACCACAAUCUCAUAUAUUAUAAAACGAGAACCGAGGCUUCUGACAAUCUGGGGCCCGUUAAUUCCACCGAACAAGUUUCCACAUUAGUUUUCAUGACGUUCAUUCAUUCAAGAGCCCUAAGUCACAGCAGUUGCUGCUUAGCCCAUGACAAGCACUGCAGUCUACACUUUACAGUUAGGGGAACAGAGUUCUGCCUGGAUCCUUCCUUUAGGAUUCCAACCUAACGUCCCACAUUCUACUUUUGUUUAUGAAGGAGACAGAUACCACCAAGUCCUAGAGAAUCCUUUCCACAGAGUCUAAUUGUGAAGAUUGCAGUUCCUGAAGCUAACGGCCAAGUAAAAGUGGGUGUUUGCUCAUCCUUUGGGGGGGAUUUCUGAACUAACUUCCUCCCAAAGUUGGGGAUUCCUUCCUGCUUCCCCAAUCUAGUAUCAGGAUGUGCAGUAAGCAGGAUAACCCUGGAAAGACGUCAUUCCCCUCGCUCCCAAAGUACCCUUCCCUCUACUAGAGAGACAUUCACAAAAGAAGUUCACAAAGGAGACCAGGGGCAUGGGCCCGAGUCCAACCAGGACACCAGAAUGUCACCAAAAUUGCCACCUUCCAGGUUCUCUGCUGCUCCUCCCAGAGCAGGAAAUUUUUAUUGCUGUCAACUUUGUCAGACAUCCAACAGCUUUCUUCUCAUUUUUACUAUUUUCUUUCUCAGUGUCUAGUCUAUUGUAUAAAAGCAACUCCCAUGUUGACUGCUGGUACUUAAAUGUGUCAAGAAACUAGGAAGCAUUUUUCUUUAACUGUGAAAGAUCUUUGUUCCUAAUUACCUCCCCUUUUACAAAAUUUGUGUUAUUUUCCGGUACUGUAGGUUAUUAAAUAAUUG
This 5085-nucleotide transfer RNA is filed under the name Sarcophilus harrisii (Tasmanian devil). RNAcentral's name for it is "lncRNA (ENSSHAG00000021756.1)". The stretch from base 2576 to 2647 matches the Rfam family "tRNA". The record is from RNAcentral. Lineage: Eukaryota; Metazoa; Chordata; Mammalia; Dasyuromorphia; Dasyuridae.